Molecule: long non-coding RNA, 1269 nt
Organism: Felis catus (domestic cat)
Lineage: Eukaryota; Metazoa; Chordata; Mammalia; Carnivora; Felidae
Exons: 2
Source: RefSeq, a predicted model, not a curated record
GAAACAGAGGCGAUUAUCUCUUCACACUCCCCAUCCCAGCACUGCCUCCGUUGGAAGGGGCUGCCCUUCUCUGGUCUUUGGUGGGGGAGGCGGGGAGACCCCCUCCCAGCUAUAGACAUCACAGCUCCAAGGCUUGCUAGAAGGAAACUCAAGCCGUAGACGAGAGCCACUCUGGCUUUGCUAGGCCCCUCCCAGAUAGGAAGCCCACAUCUCACUGAAGGAUACCACAAUGGCAGACUUGUAUGUUGUUCUGCAGUUGUGUCUGACUACCUCCCCAUCUUCUGACAACAGGACUCUGAACCAAAGCAGUGAGGAGUUGCGUUGUGUCUGUUAAUGGCAGACAACCAUUAACAGUGGUGGGACCUGAUGCAAGUCAUUGCCCCAAGAAGGGCCUCAGCUCCCUCCUCUGUAAGGGGGUGGAACCCUGAUGUUGCCAGUGGUUGUGAAGCCUCACCAAGGGAACCUGCUAGUUCACUCUAGUCCCUAUAACCUCACCCAAGGCCAGAGGAGCCAGCCGGGAUAGAUAAUGUAGAGGGCCAGUGGCUUAGUCCCAAUCCAGCCAAUCUCCCAGCCUAUGACCAAUACUUCAGCCAAUGAGGGGCCAGGAAGAUGAGCCAGCUUUAUUUUAGGUCCCAUAGGAGGUGGUGGCACUAAAAAUAGGAGCUCAGUGCUAAGAUGACUAAGAAAUGUCCAAGAAAAGUCUAAAACAAGCAGAAGAGAAAGACUGGACCCAGGCACGCCUGCUACACAGGAAUACAAGAAAGAACAGUCUAAAAAGAAAAAUGCCAAGGCUCAGAAGCAGCCUCAUAUCAGGUUGGGGACUGACCUUCGUGACGGCUUCUCCUACAGUUCUUCCAAGAGGACCGCUGACCACGCCAUCUCCUGCUUCACCCCAACAGUCCGCAGGCUGAGUGAGGCCAGGCUCCUCGAGGAGCAGAAAUGACCUCGAUGACCUCUCGCCCACUGAGCAUCAGCCUUCACUGACCUUUAGGUCUCUGUGGGUGCAAAGACCCUCUAAGAAUGUCUCAAAAACUGUGACCCUCUCCCAAUAAAUUUGCACAGAGGUAGGGAUGUCCCAGCCUUGUGAAUAAUUUCAGAUUGUUCAGACUCCCUGAGGCUGUCAAAGAUCCCAGGGUAAAUCUUUUGCCCCCCCCCCAAAAAAAAAAAUCUUUUGUCCAGAAGACCCCAUUAGACAACAGAAAAUUUUCAUUUCUAUCCUCAAAUUCUGGGUCAGUGUUUCCAGUGACAAAACUUUAAAAAAAUUUUUUU